Long non-coding RNA from Daphnia pulex (common water flea), 883 nucleotides. RefSeq lists it as uncharacterized. NCBI's taxonomy places the organism in Eukaryota, Metazoa, Arthropoda, Branchiopoda, Diplostraca, Daphniidae. The record is from RefSeq and is a predicted model, not a curated record. The transcript has 2 exons.
CGACUGACAACGUGGUCGGCCCUCUGGUGGUUCAAUUUCCAUCAAAACAAAAAACAAAAGAGGGAACCGAGAUUCUUAUCUACCCGUUCCUUUCAUUCUUAAAAACUUGUCAACAAAUUUUUGUUUCUUUCCUCUCCCAGGUUUUUUAAAUGCAUUUCAAUUCAAUAUUUUUCUUUUAAAUGAUGUUUACGAUUCUCUGCCCGUAUUGCGUAGAUUGGGUGAGGUAAUACUAUCGAUAACAAUUGCCCUUGCGGAAGGUCUUGCCACUUCCUUGCCUCCCAUUAGGCGGAUGUACGCAGUUGCUUAAACAAAUUGUUUUCACAGUCUUUUUUUCCAAAAUCUUUUUUAUUUUUUAAAUUAAAAUUCCCUGGCGUGUGGUCCACCGGACCAGAAGGGGGGCUCUAAUGUCUGAUGACUUUGAAAUCACCUUCAAAAAUGUAUAUGACAACGGCUGAUGCAAUUUGGUAGUAACUUCAUUUGCAUCAGAAUACGUAAUCUGGUACUUAAACAAACAACAUCAACACCUUCAAGGACUGCCCAGAAGCGAAAACAACAACAACAACAAGCCGGUCGGCGUGAGUGUAGGACAUUUGAAGAGCAUCGGGAGCCGGAAGGCGUUCCACAGCCCAACAACAACAACAACCGAAAAAUUUCAUCUAGAAGAUUUAACCUUCACCCGUCUUUUGCCUAGAUUUUUAUUAUAUUAUUCGCUUCAUACGCACAUUCUUCUUUUUACUCUCUUCAUUCAUUUUCCCUUUUUAUAUUCGCCUCAACUGCCCAGUUGGUGAAGGUCACCUUCUUCUAUUUAGCUCGGCGGACUCGUCGCACUUCUGAUCCACUUGUUGCAUUUUUAUUUAAUACACCCGCAGGUUAUUUUACUCUG